Molecule: long non-coding RNA, 2076 nt
Organism: Lathyrus oleraceus (garden pea)
Lineage: Eukaryota; Viridiplantae; Streptophyta; Magnoliopsida; Fabales; Fabaceae
Exons: 4
Source: RefSeq, a predicted model, not a curated record
AGUAAGCAUAUAUGGAUUACAUGCCUUCAAAAACUAAAACAAAGGAGAUAUGUUGAUAACAUUGUUAUUGUUUUCAUUUUGAGCCAAGUGUUCCUAUUUACGUGUCACAUUAUUAUACACAACCACACUUUCUCUCCGUGUGUCUUUACUCUCUUUUGUUAUUGGUCUCCCUUUCUCUUUCCAAAUAAUUUAUAACCAAUAAAAAAACCUUUAACUUUGCAAACCCACACACACUCACAUUAUCCUUUUCCUUCCACGAUGCUUCCUCUCUCUCUAUAUAUAACCCACCUUGCUCUUCACUCUAUUAAAACUAACUUUGUCUUCAAUUAUCAGUUCCCUCUCAAAUAUUCAAAAUUCUUUUUCCUAUUCACACACCCAUUUAUCUAAGUUUCUCUUCAUUUUCUCAUAAGUUUCUUCUUCCUACAACACGGCAUCACCGAAUUCAGAGAUGUGCGUGUUACUGGUAGAAGCAAGCAGUGGUGCGAGGAAGAGGAACUUAGAUAAAUGUGUGUGUGAAAUAAGAAGAUUGGAAUUUGGUUAUGUCCUUUCUCAAGAUGAUGAGAUGAGACUUACAACCAACCAUGUCAAGACCACCUAUUCUCAUUAAGGGUUUGGUGAAAGGAAAUCAGGUGUGGAAAAUGCUAAUUCGAGUUGUUGACCUUUUGGGUUGCAAAAGAGAAAAGUGGACUGCAGCAUCUUGAAUUGGUCAUACAAGAUACGAAAGUAAUUGUUUCCCGCUCUAUUUGUAUAUAUGUUAUGUUCAUGUCGUUUAAUGAACAACCACAUUAUAGGGUGAUCAAAUCCAUGUGACCACUCGUAACCGAGAAUUUAAAGAUUGGAUUGAACAACUUACCGAGCAUGAAACCUAUUGUCUUUAUAAUGGAGAGCCUAUGGUUAAUGACAACACUUUCAAAGUAUGCCUAAACAAGCUGAAACUUGUAUUCAACGGAGGAACCAUUUUUUCUAAAAUACCAACACCCGUAAUACCGCCACAACAAUUCAAGUUUAAGGCUAUUGAUGAUUUUCUUAGUGGAAAAUUCACCACUGAUCUCUUAUAUGACGUUGUAGGUGUUCUACAAGAUAUUGUCAAAACACAAAUGGGUGGUGGUGGUAAGAAAUAUUGUGCCAAUAUUACUCUACGUGAUGAAGCUGAAAAUGUUAUUGAGCUCGUGUUAUGGGAAGAUUACGCUAAACAAUUCAUGCACUAUAACAACUCUAACAAUUCUCCUAGUCCAACACUACUUAUUUUAACACAUGCCUGGUGAAGCAAAAUCAAGCUUCUGGAUUUCCUAGCCUAUCAAACGCAUGGAAUGGCUCAAGACUUCACAUUAACUUAGACCAUCCACAAGUGCACGCUUUUAAAUCCAAGUAUGAUAUUUUGACAAACACUUUGCACUAUAGCCAUAUUGAACUACUAUGUAGUAUACUUCCAUAUCCUUCAUGUAAUUUACAUUUUCAUAUUGGUACAAACUAGCAUCAACCCAAUUAUCAAUUACAUUGUCUGCUUCUCUCACCCAAGCAUCACAAUCAUUUGUACAAUCUGGAAACAAGAACUGGACAAACCCGAACGAGGUUAAGGUUUGUCAUUGUUUUUGUAAUUACAAAGUUUAUGGAAGUAUUCAUAUAAUUAAUGACAAACUAAGAUCUCAAAAUAGGAUUGUUUUGCCACAACCAUCGACACAACCAAACGAUUUAAGGCCUCCAAUUUUGGAUGGUAUUUUGAGUCUUGUCCGGAUUGCAAGACAUCGAACAAGUCUCAUGGAAACAAGUUCGAGUGUGUUUGCAGAGUUAAAGAUGUUGAGCAUGUUACGAAGCAAGAUUUCAAAUUCAAUUACCAAGUCAUAAUACUUUUUAUUCUUAUUGUUUUGCUUACAUGUACCACUAUAUAUUCAUGUGUUAGAUAUGUCGCGGUGAGAAUCGGAUAUCAAGCUAUUAUAUUAACUUGAAUCAAAAAACAUUGAAUGUUCACCACCGAACGUUAAUUUAUCCAAGGGAAAGGGAAACAAUCGAAUAAAACCCUAAUUUGUGCAAUGUAAAAACAAUGCGAAGAGAUCUAAGGAUCGAUGGUUGGUUAUA